This 509-nucleotide ribosomal RNA is filed under the name uncultured Bacteroidota bacterium. RNAcentral's name for it is "bacterial SSU rRNA". It matches the Rfam family "Bacterial small subunit ribosomal RNA", at positions 903 to 1382 of the family's 1533-position model. The record is from RNAcentral. Lineage: Bacteria; Pseudomonadati; Bacteroidota.
CUAUGCGCCUUGCCAGCCCGCUCAGAAACUACAAAGGAAUUGACGGGGGCCCGCACAAGCGGAGGAGCAUGUGGUUUAAUUCGAUGAUACGCGAGGAACCUUACCUGGGCUUAAAUGCUUAAUGACGUACUGGGAAACUGGUAUUUCUUCGGACAUUUUGCAAGGUGCUGCAUGGUUGUCGUCAGCUCGUGCCGUGAGGUGUCGGGUUAAGUCCCAUAACGAGCGCAACCCCUAUUGUUAGUUGCCAUCAGGUCAUGCUGGGGACUCUAACAAAACUGCCCGCGUAAGCGUGGAGGAAGGUGGGGAUGACGUCAAAUCAGCACGGCCCUUACGUCCAGGGCUACACACGUGCUACAAUGGCCGGUACAGAGGGCAGCCACUUGGUGACAAGGAGCAAAUCUCAAAAGCCGGUCUCAGUUCGGAUCGGAGUCUGCAACUCGACUCCGUGAAGUUGGAUUCGCUAGUAAUCGUAGAUCAGCAAUGCUACGGUGAAUACGUUCCCGGGCCUU